RNAcentral lists this ribosomal RNA (253 nucleotides) under uncultured bacterium. Its description in RNAcentral is "partial 16S ribosomal RNA". It matches the Rfam family "Bacterial small subunit ribosomal RNA", at positions 524 to 776 of the family's 1533-position model. The record is from RNAcentral.
UACGUAGGGGGCAAGCGUUGUCCGGAAUCAUUGGGCGUAAAGAGCGUGUAGGCGGCCCGAUAAGUCCGCUGUGAAAGUCCAGGGCUCAACCCUGGAAUGCCGGUGGAUACUGUCGGGCUCGAAUCCGGAAGAGGUGAGUGGAAUUCCUGGUGUAGCGGUGAAAUGCGUAGAUAUCUGGAGGAACACCGGUGGCGAAGGCGGCAUCCUGGACCAACACUGACACUGAGGAGCGAAAGCCAGGGGAGCAAACGGG